GCCCGCGUAGCUUAACCUUAAAGCAUGACAUUGAAGAUGUUAAAAUGGGCCAUAAAAAGCCCCGAAGGCA
Molecule: transfer RNA, 70 nt
Filed under: Cepola schlegelii
Lineage: Eukaryota; Metazoa; Chordata; Actinopteri; Priacanthiformes; Cepolidae (in: ray-finned fishes)
Description: tRNA-Phe
Rfam family: tRNA
About the family: Transfer RNA (tRNA) molecules are approximately 80 nucleotides in length. Their secondary structure includes four short double-helical elements and three loops (D, anti-codon, and T loops).
Source: RNAcentral